RNAcentral lists this ribosomal RNA (1191 nucleotides) under Triticum aestivum (bread wheat). Its description in RNAcentral is "partial small subunit ribosomal RNA". Lineage: Eukaryota; Viridiplantae; Streptophyta; Magnoliopsida; Poales; Poaceae. The record is from RNAcentral.
AGUGUAAUUUAUUUUCAUUUUAUUUUGUGUAAUCCAGUGAUGAUUUUUUAUUGUAAUUGUAGCUCUUUGAAAAGGCACAAGCCUAAUGUUGAUGUCAUAUAUGACAGAAGACCUUCCAUGGCUAGCUUCAAUUUUGAUUGCGAAUCAAAGGAUGCUCGUCCUGUUACCAAGGCGGAUCAGAAUAUCGGUUCAGCUGAUGUUGAUUUUGAAUUUCACCCAACUAGAAACAACCUUUCACCUAUUGUUCCAGUGAGGCUAUCCCAGCGUUUUAUAGAUGAGGUCGACCAAGUUCAGUGUUCGCAAUAUGUGUCUGAAAGGCUUCUUAACUCUCAUGUGUCUCCUUUUGAACAGCUGGUCGGUCUUGAUGAAGUUCAAGUAGUUGGCACCUCCACAUUUUCUGACCGUUGUGUUAAUUUCGCAAAGAAGACGAAUGAAGCUUAUAACCGGCUGAACAAUUUAGCAUCAUCUUCUUCCGUUAGACCGGGUGUUUCAAACAGUCCUGAAGUCCUUAUCAUCUCUGAUCCUGAAGGUGUUGCAGAAUUAAAUGCUGCUCAAAAGCGCAAUGAGCUCGCUAUUUCCAAAUUUUCUAAUUGUUCAACAGCGACGACCCAGCACGUUCCUCGUAGGAUUGUCGGAGCUGCUAGGUUCAACUCAGAUCCUUAUGUUCAGCAGUUGAAUCGUUUUCCUGUUACUUUGCAAGAAAGGAAGCAUUAUUUUGCAAUGAAUCGCAUUGGCAGCGACAAAGUUUGGUGCAAAUAUGAAGCUAUUAGAUAUGAUAGAGCGUUCUGCUCGUAUCGCUCUCUUUCAUCCCUAUGCCCAGGUGGUCAUCUAGAUAACUUCCUCAUUCUGUGUUUUUGUCGAUUCCUUUUCAACAAGUGUCAUCCUUCAAAAUCAAAGAAACAUUUCUUCUUCAGUUAUAUUGGGGAGUGCAUUCUGAAUAACAACAAUCCAUUGACCCGUAAUCCAAAUAUUGUCCGAAAUGCUUUUGAGGGUGCUUGCAGCGCGUUUGUUUUGUGGAGAUCAGACUUUUUGUACUUCCCUAUUGGUCACGAUGAGCAUUGGUUCUCAUUUGUCGUCUGUAUCAAAGAUAGAGCUUUUGUGUUUCUCGAUUCGGCUUAUGGAGAGAACUCAUCAUACCACAGAGAUAUCCGUAAUGAGCUGUGUAAUUCUCAAAGGAUUUUUGCACUCAUU